RNAcentral lists this ribosomal RNA (543 nucleotides) under uncultured bacterium. Its description in RNAcentral is "bacterial SSU rRNA". It matches the Rfam family "Bacterial small subunit ribosomal RNA", at positions 345 to 879 of the family's 1533-position model. The record is from RNAcentral.
GAGGCAGCAGGUAGGGAAUCUUCGGCAAUGGACGAAAGUCUGACCGAGCAACGCCGCGUGAGUGAAGAAGGUUUUCGGAUCGUAAAACUCUGUUGGUAGAGAAGAACGUUGGUGAGAGUGGAAAGCUCAUCAAGUGACGGUAACUACCCAGAAAGGGACGGCUAACUACGUGCCAGCAGCCGCGGUAAUACGUAGGUCCCGAGCGUUGUCCGGAUUUAUUGGGCGUAAAGCGAGCGCAGGUGGUUUAUUAAGUCUGGUGUAAAAGGCAGUGGCUCAACCAUUGUAUGCAUUGGAAACUGGUAGACUUGAGUGCAGGAGAGGAGAGUGGAAUUCCAUGUGUAGCGGUGAAAUGCGUAGAUAUAUGGAGGAACACCGGUGGCGAAAGCGGCUCUCUGGCCUGUAACUGACACUGAGGCUCGAAAGCGUGGGGAGCAAACAGGAUUAGAUACCCUGGUAGUCCACGCCGUAAACGAUGAGUGCUAGAUGUAGGGAGCUAUAAGUUCUCUGUAUCGCAGCUAACGCAAUAAGCACUCCGCCUGGGGA